This 538-nucleotide ribosomal RNA is filed under the name uncultured bacterium. Its description in RNAcentral is "bacterial SSU rRNA". It matches the Rfam family "Bacterial small subunit ribosomal RNA", at positions 312 to 847 of the family's 1533-position model. The record is from RNAcentral.
ACUGGUACUGAGACACGGACCAGACUCCUACGGGAGGCAGCAGUGAGGAAUAUUGGUCAAUGGGAGAGAUCCUGAACCAGCCAAGCCGCGUGAGGGAAGACGGCCCUAUGGGUUGUAAACCUCUUUUGUCGGAGAACAAAACCCGGGACGUGUCCCGGACUGCGUGUAUCCGAAGAAAAAGCAUCGGCUAACUCCGUGCCAGCAGCCGCGGUAAUACGGAGGAUGCGAGCGUUAUCCGGAUUUAUUGGGUUUAAAGGGUGCGUAGGCGGUCCGUUAAGUCAGCGGUAAAAUUGCGGGGCUCAACCCCGUCGAGCCGUUGAAACUGGCAGACUUGAGUUGGCGAGAAGUACGCGGAAUGCGCGGUGUAGCGGUGAAAUGCAUAGAUAUCGCGCAGAACUCCGAUUGCGAAGGCAGCGUACCGGCGCCAGACUGACGCUGAGGCACGAAAGCGUGGGGAUCGAACAGGAUUAGAUACCCUGGUAGUCCACGCAGUAAACGAUGAAUGCUGGUUGUCCGGGUCGAAUGAGAUCUGGGCGGC